This 120-nucleotide ribosomal RNA is filed under the name Prolemur simus (greater bamboo lemur). The record is from RNAcentral. Lineage: Eukaryota; Metazoa; Chordata; Mammalia; Primates; Lemuridae.
GUCUACAGCCAUACCACACUGAAUGCGCCCAAUCUCAUCAUAUCUUGGAAGCUAAGCAUGGUCGGGCCUAGUCAGUACUUGAAUGGGAGAGUUGCUACUGAAAUCUAGUAGGUGGAGGCC